UGGAUCAGUGAUGAUGACUGCCGGCGUACGAGGCCCAGAUGAUGAGUGAUACGUGUCUGAAACUCUGAGGUCCAG
RNAcentral lists this small nucleolar RNA (75 nucleotides) under Suricata suricatta (meerkat). RNAcentral describes it as "Small nucleolar RNA SNORD113/SNORD114 family (ENSSSUG00005011746.1)". It matches the Rfam family "Small nucleolar RNA SNORD113/SNORD114 family". From Rfam's summary of the family: The imprinted human domain at 14q32 contains two clusters of tandemly repeated small nucleolar RNAs named 14q(I) and 14q(II) snoRNAs. These two clusters are named SNORD113 and SNORD114 respectively in the HGNC approved gene symbol nomenclature. Lineage: Eukaryota; Metazoa; Chordata; Mammalia; Carnivora; Herpestidae. The record is from Rfam by way of RNAcentral.